This is a long non-coding RNA of Callithrix jacchus (white-tufted-ear marmoset), 9815 nucleotides long. RefSeq lists it as uncharacterized. The record is from RefSeq and is a predicted model, not a curated record. NCBI's taxonomy places the organism in Eukaryota, Metazoa, Chordata, Mammalia, Primates, Cebidae.
GCCGAGGGGAGGGCCCGCCGGGGGCCGACCUGCCGGCUCCUCCCCCCGCCGCCCUGCGCGCAUAAAGCCCGGCGCUCGCCCGCGCGCCCGGGCGCCCGCGGAGGCGGCGGCGCCGGGACCCCCCUCCUGCUGGGCUCCCGGGUCUCCCGGGCCGAGCCAGACCCGGAAUCCCGGUGCGGGUCGGGACCAGGGCGCGGCCGCACCCCUCACCCACCCCGGCGUGGGGGCCUGGCCGCGGGAACGCCCUCCCGGAAUGAAGCGCUUCCCGGUGCCUCCAAGGUAGCUCGGUUCCGGAUCGGGAACACCCCUGGUCUUCCCUCUCAGGUCCCUGUUGUCCAGAAUAGAAGAGAACCCCAAUCUCCUUGGGUCGGGCGGGAGUGCCCCAGUGCCCCCCAGCCCUCACACGCUCCAUUUCCCCAGUCGGAGCGAGAAGCCGCCCUCAGAGCCCCCAGUUUCCUCCCAACCUAAUUUAGAGUCUCCCCCCCCCCCCCCCGGCCCAGGGCUCUAAUUUAGAGCCCUCGCUCCGUUCCCUGUGUCCCAUAUCCAGUUUGGGGACCCUCUCAGUGGCUCGCGUCCCGAGUGGGGAACCUCCAUCAGUACCACCCCAGUAAAAACUGUAUCCGCUCCCCAAUGAGUCCUCAGCCCUUGCUGGCCAAAGUGAGAGUCCCCUUUAGCUCCCCCAAAUCCCUUCGGUCCACAGUAGUGGACCCUACGGUCUAUUGAGAAAAUCCCCCGCCCCAAACAUGGGUUCCCAGUUUGCCGCCACCCCCAACCCCCGGUGUGAGGAGUCUCCCCUGGUUCUCUCCCUCCCUGGCUGGUUUUUGUGAGCUCCAUUUAGACUUCUGUCCGGAUUCGGGAAACCCUGUUCCAGUCGCUCACCACCCCCACCACACCGAGGCUGGAGGAGAAGGCAGUGCCUCUUAGAGCCUCCCGUUUCCCGUUUAGGAGCCCGACGCCUCAUCUGUGCACCGUCCCCUCCGAAUGACCCCCUUCUUUUGCAGAGGUCUAAGCUCCACCCUAUCCGAUUGGAAGAGCCUAAACUACCUUCUCACUGCAUUUGGAAUGACUUCGCUCAGUUCCUCUUAUUUUGAGGCUACUCCCCAAGAAAGCAAACACCUUCUCCCUACCCCCAUCUUCUGGGUCUCUGGGAUCCCCCAGUACUUGCACCCAAGGCUCCUGGGAGUCACCUCACGUACCCCUAAAAUUCCCUCCCUCCAGCCUGGGAACAACCCUAAGAAAGUCUAUUAUGAAUCGCCAGGGGGGCUGCGGGGCCACGCUCCUUUUCUCCACCUCUCCAUAUCCAAGCCUUAGGACCCCCGACUUCCCUGGCUGAAACCAGCCAAGAAAGGGUCAAAGCAGGAAGCUAAGGCGGCCAACACCCCCACUCCCCAUCCCUGCUGGGGGUCUCGGUGCCACACAAGCUCCUCCCUCCCAACUGGCCUCCUACUUCUUCCCCCAUCCCUACCUUAAUCCAUCCGGUGUAAUCCAGUGACGGCCCUUGGUGACAAGCCCUUUGCUGUUCACCUUCACAUCCAUCCUGAAUUCAACACCUUUUAUCCAUGUGUGCAGCAGCUCUGGGCAUCAUAACUCUGACCCCUGGCAGGGUGCCCAUCCCCGUCUUGUUGGCCUUCCUUCCCUCCCCUUACCCCAACCACCACGAAGAGAAAAGGAGAGACUUACAGUAAUGGUUUCCUUGGGGACCUUCUGGGAAUGCUCAGCAGGUAUAUCCUGUCACUCUGUGAGCAUAACACUAGGAACAAACUUGCUUUUUCCUGUUUGUGUCCCUACUCUGCCCCACAGUUUCCCAGCAUCCCCUGGACUGGGGAUGGGGGGCACCCCACACAAGGCAUUUUUUACCAUUCCAACACAAACAUUCCAGUGUGUGUCAUACGUAGGAAAGACAGAAGAGGGUGAAGAAGUGGCCUCUGCAGUAUUAGGGAGCUGACUGUUCUUAGGUUUGAACUUAAAAAGGAGAGGUGCUUAAUGGAGAGGUGCAAGGAGCAGGGAUCUCCCAGUGUUCCUGGGCAUUGAUUUGUGUGCUGGUGCUGCUGGACAGAUGAGCCUGAAGGAUAGGAAAUGGCUCCUUUCCUGUGGUGACCACCUACCCAUGAGAACACGCCUCUUGCAAAGGAUCUCCAUCCCUCUCCAGAAGAGGAGAAGAAGAGACACAAGAAGAAACGUCUGGUGCAGAGCCCCAAUUCCUACUCCAUGGAUAUGAAAUACCCAGGAUGCUAUAAAAUCACCACGGUCUUCAGUCACGAAUGAAUGGUAGUUUUGUGUGUUGGCUGCUCCACUGUCCUCUGCCAGCCUACAGGAGGAAAAGCAAGGCUUACAGGAGGAUGUUCCUUCAGGAGGAAGCAGCACUAAAAGCAUUCUGAAUCAAGAUGAGUGGGAAACCAUCUCAAUAAACACAUUCUGGAUUUUAAAAAAGGAGUGGGGGGGGGGGGGAAUGGGUAAGGGCAUCUGUUCAGAGCCAGCCAAGGCUGUGUAAGAAGUAGCUUGAGAUAGGAUCCAUGUAUUAGCAUCUUCAUUCAGGAUCUCAGAGGAGGAAGCGUUUGUUUCUUUUAGUCAGUAGCGUGUUUGUAUCACAGUAACAUAGGUUAGACUUAGAGAAGUCCUCUUUCACUACAGGUUUAUCGCAGCAGCACAGCUUCAGUCCACUUUGUUCACAGUAGGGGCAACAAGUCCUUCUAGAGGUAGCCCUCACAGGCCAAUGCAGUUGUAAAUGCAUGAUUCUCAUAGUACAUUAAGGAUCUCAGUGGUAUUAAGGAAAAAUGAUCUUUAGAGCAACUGGCCCAGACUUCAGAAUUAAGAGAUUAGAGGAUGCAGUUCCAGCUCUUUUUCUCUGGUACUACACACACAGAACAUCACUCCAAGAAUAAAAGAAGAAUUUGCUUUAUGGUUUAAAAGAAAAUCCUCUUGAGAAAGACAGUGGGCAGAUGAUAUUAUGCAACUUGGCACACGUGUGUACCAAACGUCUUCUACUUACUAGACACUGUCCUGGGUGCUGUAGUCCCAGCAGCUGCCUUUGUAAAGCUUGCAUUCUACAGAUGGGAGUCAUGGUCUCACUAUGUUGCCCAGGCUGGCCUCCAGCUCCUGAACUCAAGCAAUCCUCUACUACCAUGACCUCCCAAAGUGCUGGGAUUACAAAUGUAAGUCGCUGUGCCCAGCCUAAAAAGUAGACCAUAUUUUUAUUGACGAGAAGGUACAGAGAUUUCCCCCAUGCCCUCUGCCCCCGCAUGUGUAUAACCUUUCCCACUGUCAACAUCCGCCACCAGAGUGGUACAUUCGUUACAACUGGUGAACCUAUACUGACACAUGAUUGUCACUGAGAGUCCAUAGUUUAGAGUUCACUCUUGGUUUUGUACAUUCUGUGUGUUUGGACAUGUAUCUCCUGUUGUAUCCAUGUAUAAGGACAUGUAUCUCCCAUUAUAUCAGACGAAGUGGUUUCACCGUCCUCAACAUUCUCUGUGCUCUACCUAUUUGUUUUUCCCUCCCCCAACCCCUGACAACCAUUGAUCUUUUACUCUCCAUAGUUUUCUUUUUUCAAGAAUGUCAUAUAGUUUCAAUCAUAAAGUAUAUAGCCUUUUAGACUGGCUUCUUUCACUUAGUAUUACACAUUCAAGAUUCCUCCAUGUUGCCGGGCAGUGGCUCACACCUGUAAUCCCAGCACUUUGGGAGGCCGAGACAGGCAGAUUACGAGGUCAGGAGUUCCAGACCAACCUGGCCAACAUAGUGAAACCCAUCUCUACUAAAAGCACAAAAAAUUAGCUGGGCAUAAUGGUGGAUGCCUGUAAUCCCAGCUACUUGGGAGCCUGAGGCAGGAGAAUCGCUUGAACCAGGACCUGGGAGGCGGAGGUUGCAGUGAGGCAAGAUUGGGCCACUGCAGUCCAUGUUGAAAGAAAGGCUGGAGGGGGGGUGGGGGAGGAAGGGAAGAAGAAAAGGAAGAAAGAUUCCUCCAUGUUGGCAUGUUGGCUUUUGUGUUUGGGGGGGUUUCAUUUUUUUUUGUUUCUUGUGUUUUUUGUCAUUUGUUUGUUUGAGACCAGGUUUCCCUCUGUUGCCCAGGCUAGAGUGCAGAGGCAUGAUUAGGCUCACUGCAACCUCAACUUCCCAGGCUCAAGCAAUCCUCCCACCUCAGGCUCCUGGACAGCUGGGACUACAGAAUAGUUGGGACUACAGCUGCACGCCACUGCCCCUGGCUCAUUUUUGUAUUUUUUGUAGAGACAGGGUUGCACCAUGUUGCCCAGGCUGGUCUGGAACUCCUAGCUUCAAGUGAUCCACCUGCCUCAGCCUCUCAAAGUGCUGGGAUUACAGGCGUGAGCCACCUGGCCUGGCCCCCACCAUGUCUCUUCAUAGCUUGAUUACUCGUCUCUUUUUAGGGCUGGAUACUAGUCUGUACUCUAGAUGUACCACAGUUUUCGCGUCCAUUCACCUCCUGAAAGACAUCUUGCUUGCUUUCAAAUUUUGGCAAUUAUGAAUAAAGCUGCUAUAAACAUCCAAGUCCAGGUUUUUGUGUGGACGUAGGUUUUCAGUCCCUCACUUUUUUGUCCUAAUUUUUGUCUCUCUUUUUUUUUUCCUUCUCUCAAAUUUCUGGACUCAACCAGAAGGCUAUCAGCUGGGGUAAUGAGAGCACUUGACUGAGAAUCUAAAGAUCCACACGCUGGUCUUGGGACUGUCACUGUUUCUGGUUGAGUGGUUCUAGGGAUACACCACUUAGCCUUGUGAGCUUCCAUUUACUUUCGGAGUUGCUGGAAGACUUUCGUGAGAGCAUGUAUUUGAAAGCUCCUUAGACGCUCUAAAGCACUAUGGGAAAGUAAGGGUAGAGCUGUCCAUCAAAGCGCCAUGGGAGUACCGGGUGUGCUGACUCAUGCCUGUAAUCCCAGCACUUUGGGAGGCUGAGGCAGGAGGAUCACUUGAGGUCAGGAGUUUGAGACCAGCCUAGCCAACAUGGCAUUUUCCCUUCUCUACCAAAAAUACAAAAAUGGACCAGGCAUGAUAGCACAUGCCUGUAAUCCCAGCUACUGGGGAGGCUGAGGUGGGAGAAUCACUUGAACCCGGGAAGCGGAGGCUGCAGUGAGCCAAGAUCCUGCCACUGCACUCCAGCCUGGGUGGCAGAGUGAGACUCUGUCUCAAAACAAACAAAAAGCAGCACCAUGGGAAGGUAAGGAUAGAGCUGUUCAUCAACUCCAUACAAUGGAAUAUUAUUCGGCCAUAAAAAGGAAUGCAGUACUGGUACCUUUUACAACACGCAUGAACCUUGAAGACAUUUUGCUGAGUGAAAGGAGCCAAAAACAAAAGGCCACAUAUUUCAUGAUUCCAUUUACACGAGAUGUCCACAAUAGGCAAAUCCACAAAAAGAGGAAGUAAACAGGUGGCUGUCUAGAGCUUGGAGGGUGAGGGAAGACACAGGGAAAUGGGGCGUGACUGCCAGUGGGUCCAGGUUUCUUUCAGGAGUGAUAAAAAUGUUCUAAAAUUGGUUAUAGUGAUGGUUACACAAUUCUUCGGAUAUAUUUUAAAAUGUUGAAUUAUAUACUUUAAGUGGGUAAAUUGGAUGGCAUGUGAAUUAUAUCUCUAUAAAGCUGUUACCAAAAAAAAGCAAACCAUUUACCUAGUUUGAACCUUUCGCUGAUCUCAGUGCCUAUCCAUGGAAAUGAAUUGCCUCUUUUCUCCCCUAACACGUUGCUUUUACUUUUAUUUUAUUUUUUUCUUUUUUAAUAUCACAGUCCUAAAUAUAUAUACACCUAAUACUUUUAUUAUUAUUAUUUAGAAGUUAUUAAGCAUAUCCCACAUACUAGACGUGGUGCUAUGGGCUUUUCAGGAAUUCUCCCAUUUCAUUCUCCCAGCAAUUCUACAAGGUAGGAACUUCUGUGUUUUUAUUUUACUAACCAAGAAAACAAGUCUUAGAGAAGUUAAGGAAUUUGUCCAAAGUCACAUAGAGAUCCUCCUCUAUUUACAAUGAAGCUACAUCCCAAUAAAACCAUCAUAAGUCAAAAAUACUUUCAGGCCAGGCUCAGUGGCUCACACCUGUAAUCCCAGCACUUCAGGAGGCUGAGGGGGGAGGAUUGCUUGAGUCUAGGAGUUGGAGACCAGCCUGGGCAACAUGGUAAAAUCCCAUCUCUACUAAAAUACAAAAAAGUUAGCCAGGUGUGGUGGCACAUGCUUGUAGUCACAGCUACUCAGGAGGCUGAGGUGGGAGGAUCACUUGAGCUCAGGAAGUCAAGGCUGCAGUGAGCCAUGAUCGUACCACUGCAUUCUGGCCUGGGUGACAGGAGUAAGACCCUGUGUCAAAAAAAAAAAAAGUCGGGUGUGUGGCACGCCCUGUAGUGUAGUCCCAGCUGGAGUUGAGGCAUACUCACCCUCUGGAGGCUGAGGCACGAGGUGAGCCUGAGAGAUUGAAGUUUCAAUGAGCCAUGAUUGUGCCACUGUUUUCCAGUCUGGGCAACAGAGUGAAAUCCUGUCUCAAAAUGUAUUUUAUGCAUAUAUAUGUGUAUACAUAUAUUUAAUGCAUAUAUAUGCAUAAAAUACAUUUAAUACCCUGAAAAACCUACCAUAAGGUCAAAACAUCAUAAGUUGCACCACUGUAAAUCAGAGAUCAUCUGUACUAAAUGAUAAACUAAUAGCUACAAUGUACUGAGCAAUUAUUGUGUCCCAGGCACUUUGCUUUGGAAAACUCAGUCCUUGCAACAACUGUCUGAGCUGGAUCCCUAUUUUACAGAUCAGGAAACAGAAGCAUUGAGAGGUCAACUGGCUAAUAAAGAUCAGAUGGGUGAUAAGUAGGGGAGCUGAGAUUCGAACUCAAGUCUGAUACCACAGUUCCCAUCAGAAACUUCAUCAUGAACAUCAUGAAAAUCUUUUUAUAUUAUCCACCUAUGCAAUGGGCAUGCAAUGCACCUAUUAUUACAGAUGGUUCUGGAAUGUGUGUUUUGCUGGAAUGGGAGCUCUCUAAGGGGAAGUCCCUUGAAGCUCCUUGCAUUCUCCUCCGCUACCCCUUAUCCUCAGGACCAUACCUUACACUACGUACUCAAUAGUUGGCUUUUGUUUGUUUGUUUGUUUGUUUCUUUUUGAGGGUCUCAAAACAGAGUGAGACAUACUCAAGCCCAGUUAAUUUUUUUACUUUAUUUUAUUUUUAAUUUUCUGAGACAGAGUCUCACUUUGUUGGCCAGGUUGGAGUGCGGUGGUGCAAUCUUGGCUCACUGUACCCUCCACCUCUCGUGUUCAAGGGAUUCUCCUGCCUCAGCUUCCUGAGCAGCUGGGACUACAGGUACCCACCACCAUACCUGGCUAAUUUUUUGUAGCUUUAGUAGAGAUGGGGUUUCACCGUGUUAGCCAGGAUGGUCUCAAUCUCCUGACCUCAUGAUCUGCCCGCCUCGGCCUCCCAAAGUGCUGGGAUUACAGGCAGGAGCCACCUAGCCCGGCCAAUUUUUGUAUUUUUUGUAGAGACAGGGUUUCGCUAUCUUUCCCAGGCUGGUCUCAAAUUCCUGAGCUCAAGCAAUGUUCCUGCCUCAGCCUCCCCAGGUGCUGGAAAUACAGGCCUCACUAGUUGUACUUGCCUAGAAGCCAUCACGGUGCUAGGGCUGGAGGAUGAGACAGUGAAUGAGACAGUGAUUCCUACUUUCACAGACCUGACAAUCUGGAGACACUCACAAGAAUUUUACAUACAUCUUUUUUGCCCAGGCUGGUCUUGACCUCCUGGGCUCAAGCGAUAUUCCCUUCCUCAGCCUCCCAUAGUGCUGGGAUUACAGGCAUGCCCCACCAUGUCCGACUGAUAUACAUCUUUUUGACCAGGUCUUUAGAAUCACUGCAAUAAUUCAAUGUAGGAGGUUCUAUUAAUGUGCUUGCCUUACAGAUGACAAAACUGAGACUCAAACAACUGAAGUGACAUGCCCAAAGUCAUGCAGCUGGCCAGUCUGAAAGCCCAGCUCUACCUGCCCCAAACAUGCUACACUGUCUCCAUUCCCCACCCCCCAACCUUCCCUGCUGCCCUGGCAGUGAGGGAAUUAAAUAAACUAUUCUGCUUGUCCAGCUGAGAACACACACAGUCUGUCCAGACCUGCUGACUCUCCCACUUUCUCACUUUCUCACUGUCGCUUCCAGUGACAGCCAGAUCUGGUUUGAUGUGCUGGUGAAAGGGGGAUGCUUCAGAGUUUUAUGGUUUUAGCAUCUGAAGUCACCUCUCUGCUGUAAUUAGCUCUGUGAUUUAAUCUGCUCAACUAAUCAUUCUACAAUUCAGGAGCCAAAGACAAGGCAUGUUAAGAGCAUGCCUCCUUCAAGGUUUUUUUUUAAUGUUUAUUUUGGGAAACUGAAACUGCGGACCUGGAGAAAUGAAAGGGCAGGUCUGUCAGUGCUGACUGUGGGGAAGGGGUGCCAGGCGGCGGGCAGGGGCUUCUCUUACACUUAGGCCAGACCUAAAGAUGAGGGGCUGGCUAGAGGGGAGGUUCCCAUCUCAGAGCCCUGUCUGGAGAACAAAGCACACUCCCUAGAGACCAGGUUUUCAGGGACCAUGGAAAUCAUUUUUGGAGUUUGUGAACAUAGUGGAAAAAACAUCAGGGAGUCAGGAUCCUGGGGCUCCACCUCUGACCUUGAAGCAGGCUCUUCCCCUCUCUGAGCACUAGUUUAUUCAUGUGCAAAAUGGAAAGUGGCCAUAUUAUUCCUGAGAUGGAAAAUUGGUUUCAGUUUUUCUACUCACCCUCCCAAAGUAUCUUCAAAAUGGCGUAGUGGCUGGGGCUGGGCAAGGAUAGAAAUCGGUGAUUGAUUAGUGAUGUCAGCCUUGUGCAGGUGUGCUAUAGAGUUGCCUUCUCUGAACUAGAUGAUCACUAUCUCUUUUCCAGUUUGGGUCUUCUAGAGACUUUAGAACAAGAAGGGCAAGAACUAAGAGCUAUGCAGCAUCACCAGGAGUCAGGCAACCAAGGGAAGAACCACAUGAUUCUAUACGUGGAGGAAAAGUAUUUACAUCAAACCAUAAGCCAUUGGUCUCACAUCAUUAACAUGGUGGAGAGGCAGGGGGCACAUAUUGUGUGUUAGUAUGAGUAUGAGCAUGAAUUUUUUUCUGUGAGUAUGGAUUUAUCUUAACAACCAGAAAACAGUAAAAAUAAUUUAAAUGAGUCUAUUUAAAGACUGUUCAAGAACACUGAUAGCAGCAUUAUUCAUAAUAGCCAGAAAUUGGAAGUAAACCAAUGUCCAUCAACAGGAGAAUGGAAAAACUACGAUAUAUUCAUACACUGGAAUACUAUGCAAAAAUGAAAAGGGCCAGGCGUGGUGGCUCUCACCUGUAAUCCCAACACUUUGGGAGUGGAUCAUUUGAGGCCAGGAGUUCGGGACCAGCCUGGCCUACAUGGCGAAAUCCCAUCUCUACUAAAAAUGCAAAAAUUAGCUGGAUGUGGUGGUACAGGCCUGUAAUCUCAGCUACUUGAGAUGUUGAGAAAGGAGAAUCACUUGAACCUGGGAGGUGGAGGUUGCAGUGUGCCAAGAUCACACCACUGCACUACAGCCUGGUGACAGGGAUUCCAUUAAAUAAAUAAAUAAAUAAAAAGACCAAGUGUGGUGGCUCACACCUGUAAUCCCAGCAUUUUGGGAGGCUAAGGAGGUCAGAUUGUUUGAGGCCAGGAGUUUGAGAUCAACCUGGCCAACAUGGUGAAACUCCAUCUCUACUAAAAGUACAAAAAUUAGCUGGGCAUGGUGGAAUGAGCUGUAGUCCCAGCUACUUGGGAGACUGAGGCAGGAGAACCGCUUGAACCUGGGAAGCAGAGAUUGGAGUGAGCCAAAAUCUGGCCUGGGCAACAGAGUAAAACUCUAUCUCAAAAAAAAAAAAAAAAAAA